RNAcentral lists this transfer RNA (555 nucleotides) under Sphingomonas sp. SLAU-30. RNAcentral describes it as "partial 16S-23S ribosomal RNA intergenic spacer". The stretch from base 150 to 222 matches the Rfam family "tRNA". Lineage: Bacteria; Pseudomonadati; Pseudomonadota; Alphaproteobacteria; Sphingomonadales; Sphingomonadaceae. The record is from RNAcentral.
GCUGAUAAGCGUGAGUCGCCAGUCUACUCUGGUCGCCCACAGAUCGCAGUGCGCAGGAUUGCGAGAGUGAUUCCGCGACUGACGCGUAGCAGGCGCGACGCCGGUUGUCGGCGUGCGAGGCGCUGCGCUUUAGAUCGAGUUCCCUGAUACGGGCCUUAGCUCAGCUGGGAGAGCACCUGCUUUGCAAGCAGGGGGUCAUCGGUUCGAUCCCGAUAGGCUCCACCAUUCUCGCCGGUUGGCGGCAUCAGAUGGUGGAAUCAGGUUCGGUGGGAAUGGCGAUCGGCGCAAUCAAGAAUACUCCAGGGAUGAAGACAUGAUAUCCGGCCGCAAGGCUGGUGAUGCGGAAGGGUUGCUUCUGCUGCUUCUUUGACAUUGUGAAUGGGUUUUUAAUCGAUGCCGUGGUGCAUUGGUUUGCAUGGCUCGGGGCUGCGAGGUUCCGGGUGUCGUGUGGAUCGAUGUGUCACUUACAGAUGUAUAUCUGGCUGAGAUUAUCGUCCGCAUCUAGAACAGCGCAGAUUUAUGCAGGUCUGUCGUGAUGGUUGAUUUCCAAUCGAC